GACGAACGCUGGCGGCGUGCUUAACACAUGCAAGUCGAACGGAAAGGCCCUGCUUUUGUGGGGUGCUCGAGUGGCGAACGGGUGAGUAACACGUGAGUAACCUGCCCUUGACUUUGGGAUAACUUCAGGAAACUGGGGCUAAUACCGGAUAGGAGCUCCUGCUGCAUGGUGGGGGUUGGAAAGUUUCGGCGGUUGGGGAUGGACUCGCGGCUUAUCAGCUUGUUGGUGGGGUAGUGGCUUACCAAGGCUUUGACGGGUAGCCGGCCUGAGAGGGUGACCGGCCACAUGGGGACUGAGAUACGGCCCAGACUACUAAGGGAGGCAGCAGUGGGGAAUAUUGAACAAUGGGCGGAAGCCUGAUGCAGCAACGCCGCGUGCGGGAUGACGGCCUUCGGGUUGUAAACCGCUUUCGCAUGUGACGAAGCGUGAGUGACGGUAAUGGGUAAAGAAGCACCGGCUAACUACGUG
RNAcentral lists this ribosomal RNA (468 nucleotides) under uncultured bacterium. Its description in RNAcentral is "partial 16S ribosomal RNA". It matches the Rfam family "Bacterial small subunit ribosomal RNA", at positions 28 to 507 of the family's 1533-position model. The record is from RNAcentral.